AAGCUUUUUGUUUGGAUUAUGUUUCCUGUUGUUGUAUAAGACGAGCAUAAAGCUUGU
RNAcentral lists this microRNA precursor (57 nucleotides) under Xenopus laevis (African clawed frog). Its description in RNAcentral is "Xla-Mir-208-P2b_pre stem-loop". Lineage: Eukaryota; Metazoa; Chordata; Amphibia; Anura; Pipidae. The record is from RNAcentral.